AGUGCCUGGCUCCAAACUGAGGGACGACUUCAGCUGAAUUCUUUUGUGGAAUGGGAAGGGGAAGUUAAGAACAUGCUCAGUAUGCCUGUGCUACUUUCAUCAAGCAUUCAUUUGAGCACUAUAAAAAUUUUAUAUAGUUACUGGCAAAUGCUGUGGUCCUCCAAACAUGACUGGCUCCCUGGCCACAGUUCAGUAAUGACAAGUUUAUCAGUACCCAUUUGCAAUUGUUUAUCAUUAUCUGGGCAACUGUGCAAGUAACAUCCACAGUGGCAUUUCAGAACAGGAUGGUUCUUUUUAGCUGAAACCAGAAAGGUCUAAUAGAACCUUUUCUCUCCUCUGUCCAGAGUUUGUUUUGUUUUUUUUUUUUUUAUUCCCCUAAAUUUUCUGCUGUUCAGAAAACCAGACAGAUUCUUAUUUUACUUUGUUUAUGGAGAUGCACAGGAUACUUUCCCUGAUUUGUCUGUCUUUCCUUCCACGGAUGGGCAAGGCCUGAUCAAUUUUACUGAUAAUAAACCUAGGCCAUCUGCAAUGCCUGUUGUUUUACUUCCUUCAAGCUUACCUCAGGAGGUGCCUUUUGCAAUCUGGGACAGAUCCAGUAUACAUCUGCACCUUUGGGCAGGGAUCUUCUCAGUGCCAUGGAGCUGUGCAUUGAUUAUUCUACUGCUUCCCUGGAGGAAUGAGUGUACACAUUUAUCUGUGCCC
Cinclus cinclus is the source of this 702-nucleotide long non-coding RNA. RefSeq lists it as uncharacterized. The transcript is spliced from 3 exons. Lineage: Eukaryota; Metazoa; Chordata; Aves; Passeriformes; Cinclidae. The record is from RefSeq and is a predicted model, not a curated record.